RNAcentral lists this transfer RNA (72 nucleotides) under Chitinophagales bacterium. Its description in RNAcentral is "tRNA-Arg". It matches the Rfam family "tRNA". From Rfam's summary of the family: Transfer RNA (tRNA) molecules are approximately 80 nucleotides in length. Lineage: Bacteria; Pseudomonadati; Bacteroidota; Chitinophagia; Chitinophagales. The record is from RNAcentral.
GGCUCCUUAGUUUAAUGGAUAAAAUGGAGGAUUCCGGUUCCUCAGAUACAGGUUCGAUUCCCGUAGGAGCUA